CGAGUGGCGAACGGGUGAGUAAUAUAUCGGAACGUGCCCAGUCGUGGGGGAUAACGCAGCGAAAGCUGUGCUAAUACCGCAUACGAUCUAUGGAUGAAAGCGGGGGACCGUAAGGCCUCGCGCGAUUGGAGCGGCCGAUGUCAGAUUAGCUAGUUGGUGGGGUAAAAGCCCACCAAGGCGACGAUGGGUAGCUGGUCUGAGAGGAUGAUCAGCCACACUGGAACUGAGACACGGUCCAGACUCCUACGGGAGGCAGCAGUGAGGAAUAUUGGACAAUGGGCGCAAGCCUGACCCAGCAAUGCCGCGUGAGUGAAGAAGGCCUUCGGGUUGUAAACUGCUUUUGUACGGAACGAAACGGUCUGGGUAAAUAAUGGGAAGAAAUGACGGUACCAUACGAAUAAGCACCGGCUAACUCCGUGCCAGCAGCCGCGGUAAUACGGAGGGUGCAAGCGUUAUCCGGAUUUAUUGGGUUUAAAGGGUGCGUAGGCGGUCUAUUAAGUCAGCGGUGAAAGUUUUCAGCUCAACUGGAAAAAUGCCGUUGAUACUGUAUCGCUGGAAUAUGGUUGCUGUGAGUGGAAUGUGUAGUGUAGCGGUGAAAUGCUUAGAGAUUACACAGAAUAUCGAUUGCGAAGGCAGCUCACAAAGCCAUUAUUGACGCUGAGGCACGAAAGUGUGGGGAUCAAACAGGAUUAGAUACCCUGGUAGUCCACACUGUAAACGAUGAUAACUAGCUGUCGGCGAUACACAGUCGGUGGCCAAGCGAAAGCGAUAAGUUAUCCACCUGGGGAGUACGACCGCAAGGUUGAAACUCAAAGGAAUUGACGGGGGCCCGCACAAGCGGAGGAACAUGUGGUUUAAUUCGAUGAUACGCGAGGAACCUUACCCGGGCUCGAACGGUGCAGGAAUAUGGUAGAGAUAUCAUAGCUAGCAAUAGUCUGUAUCGAGGUGCUGCAUGGUUGUCGUCAGCUCGUGCCGUGAGGUGUCGGCUUAAGUGCCAUAACGAGCGCAACCCUUGUCGUUAGUUACCAUCAAGUAAAGUUGGGGACUCUAGCGAGACUGCCACCGUAAGGUGUGAGGAAGGGGGGGAUGACGUCAAAUCAGCACGGCCCUUACGUCCGGGGCGACACACGUGUUACAAUGGUAGGUACAGAGGGCCGCUAUCCAGCGAUGGAAUGCUAAUCUCAAAAGUCGGUCUCAGUUCGGAUCGAAGUCUGCAACCCGACUUCGUGAAGCUGGAUUCGCUAGUAAUCGUAUAUCAGCAACGAUGCGGUGAAUACGUUCCCGGGCCU
Molecule: ribosomal RNA, 1289 nt
Filed under: uncultured bacterium
Lineage: Bacteria
Description: partial 16S ribosomal RNA
Rfam family: Bacterial small subunit ribosomal RNA
Source: RNAcentral